GGUCAGAUGGCCGAGCGGUUAAGGCGCCAGCUUCAGGUGCUGGUCACAUUGUGGCGUGGGUUCGAGUCCCACUCUGAUCA
Molecule: non-coding RNA, 80 nt
Organism: Coemansia sp. RSA 2671
Lineage: Eukaryota; Fungi; Kickxellomycota; Kickxellomycetes; Kickxellales; Kickxellaceae
Source: the annotation of a GenBank genome assembly